UAGUGGCAGACGGGAUAGUAACGCGUGGGAAUUUGACCAAUAGUACGGAAUAACUGCGGGAAACUGCAGCUAAUACCGUAUACGCCCUCCGGGGGAAAGAUUUAUCGCUAUUGGAUAAGCCCGCGUCGAAUUAGCUUGUUGGUGAGGUAAUGGCUCACCAAGGCGACGAUUCGUAGCUGGUCUGAGAGGACGAUCAGCAUCACUGGGACUGAGACACGGCCCAGACUCC
This 229-nucleotide ribosomal RNA is filed under the name uncultured Alphaproteobacteria bacterium. RNAcentral's name for it is "partial 16S ribosomal RNA". It matches the Rfam family "Bacterial small subunit ribosomal RNA", at positions 93 to 339 of the family's 1533-position model. The record is from RNAcentral. Lineage: Bacteria; Pseudomonadati; Pseudomonadota; Alphaproteobacteria.